UAUGGUAAUGUUGCCGCCGCGGUAAUACGGAGGAUGCGAGCGUUAUCCGGAUUUAUUGGGUUUAAAGGGAGCGCAGACGGGUCGUUAAGUCAGCUGUGAAAGUUUGGGGCUCAACCUUAAAAUUGCAGUUGAUACUGGCGUCCUUGAGUGCGGUUGAGGUGUGCGGAAUUCGUGGUGUAGCGGUGAAAUGCUUAGAUAUCACGAAGAACUCCGAUUGCGAAGGCAGCACACUAAUCCGUAACUGACGUUCAUGCUCGAAAGUGUGGGUAUCAAACAGG
This 278-nucleotide ribosomal RNA is filed under the name Phocaeicola plebeius DSM 17135. RNAcentral describes it as "partial 16S ribosomal RNA". It matches the Rfam family "Bacterial small subunit ribosomal RNA", at positions 493 to 776 of the family's 1533-position model. The record is from RNAcentral. Lineage: Bacteria; Pseudomonadati; Bacteroidota; Bacteroidia; Bacteroidales; Bacteroidaceae.